CAGUCGCCGCGGUAAUACGAAGGGGGCUAGCGUUGCUCGGAAUGACUGGGCGUAAAGAGCGCGUAGGCGGUUUUGACAGUCAGAUGUGAAAUUCCUGGGCUUAACCUGGGGGCUGCAUUUGAGACGUCAAGACUAGAGUGUGAGAGAGGGUUGUGGAAUUCCCAGUGUAGAGGUGAAAUUCGUAGAGAUCGGGAGGAACAUCAGUGGCGAAGGCGACUAUCUGGGCCAACACUGACACUGAGGCACGAAAGCGUGGGGAGCAAACAGGAUUAGAUACCCGCGUAGUCCCUGUCUCUUAUAA
RNAcentral lists this ribosomal RNA (301 nucleotides) under uncultured bacterium. RNAcentral describes it as "partial 16S ribosomal RNA". It matches the Rfam family "Bacterial small subunit ribosomal RNA", at positions 509 to 809 of the family's 1533-position model. The record is from RNAcentral.